GUGGGGAAUAUUGGACAAUGGGGGGAACCCUGAUCCAGCCAUGCCGCGUGUGUGAAGAAGGCCUUUUGGUUGUAAAGCACUUUAAGUGAGGAGGAGGCUACCGAGAUUAAUACUCUUGGAUAGUGGACGUUACUCGCAGAAUAAGCACCGGCUAACUCUGUGCCAGCAGCCGCGGUAAUACAGAGGGUGCAAGCGUUAAUCGGAUUUACUGGGCGUAAAGCGCGCGUAGGUGGCCAAUUAAGUCAAAUGUGAAAUCCCCGAGCUUAACUUGGGAAUUGCAUUCGGUACGGGUUGGCUAGAGUAUGGGAGAGGAUGGUAGAAUGCCAGGUGUAGCGGUGAAAUGCGUAGAGAUCUGGAGGAAUACCGAUGGCGAAGGCAGCCAUCUGGCCUAAUACUGACACUGAGGUGCGAAAGCAUGGGGAGCAAACAGGAUUAGAAACCCCAGUAGUCC
Molecule: ribosomal RNA, 451 nt
Filed under: uncultured bacterium
Lineage: Bacteria
Description: partial 16S ribosomal RNA
Rfam family: Bacterial small subunit ribosomal RNA
Source: RNAcentral